UGCCCUGUAGUGUAACGGUAACACAGGUCCCUUUGGAGGAUUUAUUCAUGGUUCGAAUCCAUGCGGGGCAGCCA
RNAcentral lists this transfer RNA (74 nucleotides) under Verrucomicrobiota bacterium. RNAcentral describes it as "Verrucomicrobia bacterium (freshwater metagenome) tRNA-Gln". It matches the Rfam family "tRNA". Rfam says of the family: Transfer RNA (tRNA) molecules are approximately 80 nucleotides in length. Their secondary structure includes four short double-helical elements and three loops (D, anti-codon, and T loops). Further hydrogen bonds mediate the characteristic L-shaped molecular structure. tRNAs have two regions of fundamental functional importance: the anti-codon, which is responsible for specific mRNA codon recognition, and the 3' end, to which the tRNAs corresponding amino acid is attached (by aminoacyl-tRNA synthetases). tRNAs cope with the degeneracy of the genetic code in two manners: having more than one tRNA (with a specific anti-codon) for a particular amino acid; and 'wobble' base-pairing, i.e. permitting non-standard base-pairing at the 3rd anti-codon position. The record is from RNAcentral. Lineage: Bacteria; Pseudomonadati; Verrucomicrobiota.